This 432-nucleotide ribosomal RNA is filed under the name Escherichia coli. RNAcentral describes it as "bacterial SSU rRNA". It matches the Rfam family "Bacterial small subunit ribosomal RNA", at positions 1 to 429 of the family's 1533-position model. The record is from RNAcentral. Lineage: Bacteria; Pseudomonadati; Pseudomonadota; Gammaproteobacteria; Enterobacterales; Enterobacteriaceae.
AAAUUGAAGAGUUUGAUCAUGGCUCAGAUUGAACGCUGGCGGCAGGCCUAACACAUGCAAGUCGAACGGUAACAGGAAACAGCUUGCUGUUUCGCUGACGAGUGGCGGACGGGUGAGUAAUGUCUGGGAAACUGCCUGAUGGAGGGGGAUAACUACUGGAAACGGUAGCUAAUACCGCAUAACGUCGCAAGACCAAAGAGGGGGACCUUCGGGCCUCUUGCCAUCGGAUGUGCCCAGAUGGGAUUAGCUAGUAGGUGGGGUAACGGCUCACCUAGGCGACGAUCCCUAGCUGGUCUGAGAGGAUGACCAGCCACACUGGAACUGAGACACGGUCCAGACUCCUACGGGAGGCAGCAGUGGGGAAUAUUGCACAAUGGGCGCAAGCCUGAUGCAGCCAUGCCGCGUGUAUGAAGAAGGCCUUCGGGUUGUAAA